Long non-coding RNA from Phyllostomus discolor (pale spear-nosed bat), 112 nucleotides. RefSeq lists it as uncharacterized. The transcript has 3 exons. The record is from RefSeq and is a predicted model, not a curated record. Lineage: Eukaryota; Metazoa; Chordata; Mammalia; Chiroptera; Phyllostomidae.
CCUUCCUGCAAGCAGUUUUCCUAAUGAUUGUAUGAUUAUGUUAAAGCCCUUUCAUAUUUGAGAAUCAUACACUUGGUUCACAAAUAAUAAAUUAUUUUAAAAUAUUUCAUAC